UACGAAGGGGGCUAGCGUUGCUCGGAAUCACUGGGCGUAAAGGGUGCGUAGGCGGGUCUUUAAGUCAGGGGUGAAAUCCUGGAGCUCAACUCCAGAACUGCCUUUGAUACUGAAGAUCGUGAGUUCGGGAGAGGUGAGUGGAACUGCGAGUGUAGAGGUGAAAUUCGUAGAUAUUCGCAAGAACACCAGUGGCGAAGGCGGCUCACUGGCCCGAUACUGACGCUGAGGCACGAAAGCGUGGGGAGCAAACAGG
RNAcentral lists this ribosomal RNA (253 nucleotides) under uncultured bacterium. RNAcentral describes it as "partial 16S ribosomal RNA". It matches the Rfam family "Bacterial small subunit ribosomal RNA", at positions 524 to 776 of the family's 1533-position model. The record is from RNAcentral.